CAGCAGCCGCGGUAAUGCGUAGGGUGCAAGCGUUAAUCGGAAUUACUGGGCGUAAAGCGUGCGCAGGCGGUUCGUUAAGACAGAUGUGAAAUCCCCGGGCUUAACCUGGGAACUGCAUUUGUGACUGGCGGGCUAGAGUAUGGCAGAGGGGGGUAGAAUUCCACGUGUAGCAGUGAAAUGCGUAGGGAUGUGGAGGAAUACCGAUGGCGAAGGCAGCCCCCUGGGCCAAUACUGACGCUCAUGCACGAAAGCGUGGGGAGCAAACAGGAUUAGAGACCCCUGUAGUCCCUGUCUCUUAUAC
RNAcentral lists this ribosomal RNA (301 nucleotides) under uncultured bacterium. RNAcentral describes it as "partial 16S ribosomal RNA". It matches the Rfam family "Bacterial small subunit ribosomal RNA", at positions 509 to 807 of the family's 1533-position model. The record is from RNAcentral.